UACAGAGGGGGCAAGCGUUAUUCGGAAUUAUUGGGCGUAAAGGGCGCGUAGGCGGCCUGGCAAGCGGAAGGUGAAAUCCCUCGGCUUAACCGAGGAACUGCCCUCCAAACUGCUUGGCUUGAGUCCGGGAGAGGUGAGUGGAAUUCCCAGUGUAGCGGUGAAAUGCGUAGAUAUUGGGAGGAACACCAGUGGCGAAGGCGGCUCACUGGACCGGAACUGACGCUGAGGCGCGAAAGCGUGGGGAGCAAACGGG
Molecule: ribosomal RNA, 253 nt
Filed under: uncultured bacterium
Lineage: Bacteria
Description: partial 16S ribosomal RNA
Rfam family: Bacterial small subunit ribosomal RNA
Source: RNAcentral